Molecule: ribosomal RNA, 869 nt
Filed under: Agaricus gemellatus
Lineage: Eukaryota; Fungi; Basidiomycota; Agaricomycetes; Agaricales; Agaricaceae
Description: eukaryotic LSU rRNA
Rfam family: Eukaryotic large subunit ribosomal RNA
Source: RNAcentral
GGAUUCCCCUAGUAACUGCGAGUGAAGCGGGAAAAGCUCAAAUUUAAAAUCUGGCGGUCUCUGGCCGUCCGAGUUGUAAUCUAGAGAAGUAAUGCCCGUGCUGGACCGUGUAUAAGUCUCCUGGGAUGGGGCGUCAUAGAGGGUGAGAAUCCCGUCUUUGACACGGACUACCAGUGCAUUGUGGUAUGCUCUCAAAGAGUCGAGUUGUUUGGGAAUGCAGCUCAAAAUGGGUGGUAAAUUCCAUCUAAAGCUAAAUAUUGGCGAGAGACCGAUAGCGAACAAGUACCGUGAGGGAAAGAUGAAAAGAACUUUGGAAAGAGAGUUAAACAGUACGUGAAAUUGCUGAAAGGGAAACGCUUGAAGUCAGUCGCGUUGGCCAGGGAUCAGCCUUGCUUUUGCAUGGUGUACUUUCUGGUUGACGGGUCAGCAUCAAUUUUGACCGCUGGAAAAAGACCUGGGGAAUGUGGCAGCUUCGGCUGUGUUAUAGCCCCUAGUCGCAUACAGUGGUUGGGAUUGAGGAACUCAGCACGCCGCAAGGCCGGGUUUCGACCACGUUCGUGCUUAGGAUGCUGGCAUAAUGGCUUUAAGCGACCCGUCUUGAAACACGGACCAAGGAGUCUAACAUGCCUGCGAGUAUUUGGGUGGAAAACCCAAGUGCGUAAUGAAAGUGAAAGUUGAGAUCCCUGUCGUGGGGAGCAUCGACGCCCGGACCAGAACUUUUGGGACGGAUCCGCGGUGGAGCAUGUAUGUUGGGACCCGAAAGAUGGUGAACUAUGCCUGAAUAGGGUGAAGCCAGAGGAAACUCUGGUGGAGGCUCGUAGCGAUUCUGACGUGCAAAUCGAUCGUCAAAUUUGGGUAUAGGGGCGAAA